AUUGAACGCUGGCGGCAUGCCUUACACAUGCAAGUCGAACGGCAGCACGGACUUCGGUCUGGUGGCGAGUGGCGAACGGGUGAGUAAUGCAUCGGAACGUACCUUUCAGUGGGGGAUAACUAUCCGAAAGGAUAGCUAAUACCGCAUAUUCUGUGAGCAGGAAAGCAGGGGAUCGCAAGACCUUGCGCUGAUUGAGCGGCCGAUGUCAGAUUAGCUAGUUGGUGAGGUAAAGGCCCACCAAGGCGACGAUCCGUAGCUGGUCUGAGAGGACGACCAGCCACACUGGGACUGAGACACGGCCCAGACUCCUACGGGUGCAG
RNAcentral lists this ribosomal RNA (320 nucleotides) under uncultured Pseudomonadota bacterium. Its description in RNAcentral is "bacterial SSU rRNA". It matches the Rfam family "Bacterial small subunit ribosomal RNA", at positions 30 to 351 of the family's 1533-position model. Lineage: Bacteria; Pseudomonadati; Pseudomonadota. The record is from RNAcentral.